RNAcentral lists this ribosomal RNA (327 nucleotides) under uncultured eukaryote. Its description in RNAcentral is "partial 18S ribosomal RNA". It matches the Rfam family "Eukaryotic small subunit ribosomal RNA", at positions 1470 to 1796 of the family's 1831-position model. The record is from RNAcentral.
CCCUUAGAUGUUCUGGGCCGCACACGCGCUACACUGAAGGAGGCAGCGUGUACUCCUGGAUCGAAAGAUUUGGGUAACCCGCGAAUCUCCUUCGUGCUAGGGAUUGAGGUUUGCAAUUAUCCUUCAUGAACGAGGAAUUCCCAGUAAGUGCAAGUCAUAAGCUUGCGCUGACUACGUCCCUGCCCUUUGUACACACCGCCCGUCGCUACUACCGAUUGAAUGAUUUAGUGAGGACUUCGGACUGGGACCGAUGCGGCUUUCGGGCUGCGUCGGUAUUCUGGAAAGAUGCCCAAACUGCAUCAUUUAGAGGAAGUAAAAGUCGUANCA